GAUGAACGCUGGCGGCGUGCCUAAUACAUGCAAGUCGAGCGAACGGACGAGAAGCUUGCUUCUCUGAUGUUAGCGGCGGACGGGUGAGUAACACGUGGAUAACCUACCUAUAAUACUGGGGUAACUUCGGGAAACCGGAGCUAAUACCGGAUGAUAUUUUGAACCGCAUGGUUCAAAAGUGAAAGACGGUCUUGCUGUCACUUAUAGAUGGAUCCGCGCUGCAUUAGCUAGUUGGUAAGGUAACGGCUUACCAAGGCAACGAUGCAUAGCCGACCUGAGAGGGUGAUCGGCCACACUGGAACUGAGACACGGUCCAGACUCCUACGGGAGGCAGCAGUAGGGAAUCUUCCGCAAUGGGCGAAAGCCUGACGGAGCAACGCCGCGUGAGUGAUGAAGGUCUUCGGAUCGUAAAACUCUGUUAUUAGGGAAGAACAUAUGUGUAAGUAACUGUGCACAUCUUGACGGUACCUAAUCAGAAAGCCACGGCUAACUACGUG
This 497-nucleotide ribosomal RNA is filed under the name uncultured bacterium. RNAcentral describes it as "partial 16S ribosomal RNA". It matches the Rfam family "Bacterial small subunit ribosomal RNA", at positions 28 to 507 of the family's 1533-position model. The record is from RNAcentral.